GCCGACAUAGCUCAGCGGUAGAGCAACGCUUUUGUAAAGCGAAGGUCGAGGGUUCAAAUCCCCCUGUCGGCU
Molecule: transfer RNA, 72 nt
Filed under: Patescibacteria group bacterium
Lineage: Bacteria
Description: tRNA-Thr
Rfam family: tRNA
About the family: Transfer RNA (tRNA) molecules are approximately 80 nucleotides in length.
Source: RNAcentral